UAUAGUAUAAAAAUUAUUUCCCAAUCACAUAGAUGUUGGGGGCAGGUCAUUUUGUUGAAUGUAAGUUACUUAUGUGUAUCAGUUAAUAAGAAGCACCCUCUAUAGAUAAAUGAUAUAUAGGUAUUACAUUGUCAGUUAAUUUAAAUUGGAUAUAUUAAGUAAAUUUCAGUGAAAUGCAUGUGUUUCUGGAGUUGAAUAUAUAACAUAUAUUUUACAUUUUUACCAGAUUUAGCAGGACAAGGGAUGACUUGUGUUUUGAUUGAAAUUGACUCUCUACAUGGAAUAAGAGCAAGGGAUAUGUUUGAUUAUGUCUUGAAACAAUCCAGGAGAAUACUGCUGUAUAUAACUACACAUUACCUGCAAGAUUUUUCGUUGAAGAUGGAAACAAAAGGGAUAAUGCAUGCAGCUAUGUCACAGCAAAAGCAAGUCAUCCCUGUAUAUGGAGACAUCACCAGUGAAGAACAGAGAAAAUUACCUUUGUCCUUGAGACAUUUGAUACCCAUAGAUAGCAGAGAGGAAGGAUUUUUGAAACAUUUGUCAAUGAGGAUCAAAGGUAAUAUCCCUGCGUAUUAAAAAUACUGUUUAUUACAGUAACUGUCUCUGUCAGCUAACCAUACAUUUACUUUUCACCCUGAGUUUGAUAGUUUGAUAUCACUGAUAUAUUGACCAGUUUUUUUUUUCAAAAUUUGUUAUACCACCAGAUGCAAACACAACAAGCGAAGUUGCUGUUUGAAGAGGUGGGAUGCUCCACCAUAAAAUAUUAUGAAGGAGAUAAAAAAAUAUUUUAAAGCUACCGUGGGUAUAUCUGCCUAGUAAUUAAUAACUCAAAUAUUCUGAAUACUUUGUGAUUUAAAAGUCAAACUAAGCUUGUUUUGUGGUGUCUUUUGAAUCUUGAAUUGGAACUGGCAUAAUAAUUAGACACAGUUGACUUCUGUAAUCACCUUCUGAGAGCAAAUGAGAUCUUGGCUACAUCUGCGAAUCAAAAUGUGUAUAAGAUGAAUGUAAUAAGUAAAUAACUUGGUCAUUUCCAGGGGAAGAUAUAGAAUAUAAUGUUUUCAUUUUUUAUGAUAGAAGAGAUGAAAUAGAGGUAGAACAACUAUCUCAAGAUUUAGCAGGACAAGGGAUGACUUGUAUGUUGAUUGAAAGUGGCCCUCUACAUGGAUUGAGAGAAAAGGAUAUGUUUGGGUAUGCCUUGAAACAAUCCAGGAGUGUACUGCUGUAUAUAACUACACAUCUGCUGCAUGAGUAAGUAUAAGCUAGGUGUUGUCUCUCUUUGAAAUUUGUUAUUUCUGUUUGGAUGUGGUAGAAUCUAUU
Lingula anatina is the source of this 1314-nucleotide unclassified non-coding RNA. Lineage: Eukaryota; Metazoa; Brachiopoda; Lingulata; Lingulida; Lingulidae. The record is from RefSeq and is a predicted model, not a curated record.